Molecule: ribosomal RNA, 451 nt
Filed under: uncultured bacterium
Lineage: Bacteria
Description: bacterial SSU rRNA
Rfam family: Bacterial small subunit ribosomal RNA
Source: RNAcentral
AGAGUUUGAUCAUGGCUCAGAACGAACGCUGGCGGCAGGCCUAACACAUGCAAGUCGAACGCACCGCAAGGUGAGUGGCGCACGGGUGAGUAACACGUGGGAAUGUACCCUUUGGUUCGGAAUAACGUUUGGAAACGAACGCUAAUACCGGAUGAGCCCUGUGGGGGAAAGAUUUAUCGCCAAAGGAGCAGCCCGCGUCUGAUUAGCUAGUUGGUGAGGUAAUGGCUCACCAAGGCGACGAUCGUUAGCUGGUCUGAGAGGACGAUCAGCCACACUGGGACUGAGACACGGCCCAGACUCCUACGGGAGGCAGCAGUGGGGAAUAUUGGACAAUGGGGGCAACCCUGAUCCAGCCAUGCCGCGUGAGUGAUGAAGGCCUUCGGGUUGUAAAGCUCUUUUGGCGGGGACGAUGAUGACGGUACCCGCAGAAUAAGCCCCGGCUAACUUCGUG